UCUGGUGUACCAGUUGUCGUGCCAACGGCAUAGCUGGGUAGCUAUGUGUGGACGGGAUAAGUGCUGAAAGCAUCUAAGCAUGAAGCCCCCCUCAAGAUGAGAUUUCCCAACUUCGGUUAUAAGAUCCCUCAAAGAUGAUGAGGUUAAUAGGUUCGAGGUGGAAGCAUGGUGACAUGUGGAGCUGACGAAUACUAAUCGAUCGAAGACUUAAUCAA
RNAcentral lists this ribosomal RNA (215 nucleotides) under Staphylococcus aureus. RNAcentral describes it as "partial 23S ribosomal RNA". It matches the Rfam family "Bacterial large subunit ribosomal RNA", at positions 2708 to 2925 of the family's 2925-position model. Lineage: Bacteria; Bacillati; Bacillota; Bacilli; Caryophanales; Staphylococcaceae. The record is from RNAcentral.